AUACGGAGGGUGCAAGCGUUAAUCGGAAUUACUGGGCGUAAAGCGUACGUAGGCGGUUCGUUAAGUUAGAUGUGAAAGCCACGGGCUUAACCCGGGAACUGCAUUUAAAACUGGCGAACUAGAGUUGAGUAGAGGGGAGUGGAAUUUCAGGUGUAGCGGUGAAAUGCGUAGAGAUCUGAAGGAACACCAGUGGCGAAGGCGACUCCCUGGACUCGAACUGACGCUGAGGUACGAAAGCGUGGGUAGCAAACGGGAUUAGAAACCCUAGUAGUCC
This 274-nucleotide ribosomal RNA is filed under the name uncultured bacterium. Its description in RNAcentral is "partial 16S ribosomal RNA". It matches the Rfam family "Bacterial small subunit ribosomal RNA", at positions 523 to 796 of the family's 1533-position model. The record is from RNAcentral.